This 237-nucleotide unclassified non-coding RNA is filed under the name Hevea brasiliensis (rubber tree). Lineage: Eukaryota; Viridiplantae; Streptophyta; Magnoliopsida; Malpighiales; Euphorbiaceae. The record is from RNAcentral.
UGGAAACCCAGGUUUAUGUAGCAACAAUCUGAGGAAUAUCCAACCUUGUUCAGCCACUUCUCGCACUUCUGGUCACCGUCGCGUACUUCUUUCUUGUAUUGCAGCCGGUCUGCUAGUUUUGGUCAUUUUUUCUGGUUGUUUAUUGUUUGUGAAGCUAAGACAAAACAAUCUUGAUCAUCCACUAAAGCGGAGUCCUUGGGAUAUGAAGUCUUUUAGAGCACUAAAUUUUAGUGAAAG